RNAcentral lists this transfer RNA (59 nucleotides) under Belyta sp. ZJUH_2016005. RNAcentral describes it as "tRNA-Cys". The record is from RNAcentral. Lineage: Eukaryota; Metazoa; Arthropoda; Insecta; Hymenoptera; Diapriidae.
AAUAUUAUAGUUUAUUUAAAAUAUUAAAUUGCAAGUUUAAAGAUAUAUUUUUAAUAUUU